GACGAACGCUGGCGGCGUGCCUAAUACAUGCAAGUCGAGCGGAACUGGGGGAGCUUGCUCCUUCCAGUUUAGCGGCGGACGGGUGAGUAACACGUGGGCAACCUGCCCUGCAGAUCGGGAUAACUCCGGGAAACCGGUGCUAAUACCGAAUAGUUUGGCGCCUCUCCUGAGGCGCUACGGAAAGACGGUUUCGGCUGUCACUGCAGGAUGGGCCCGCGGCGCAUUAGCUAGUUGGUGGGGUAACGGCCCACCAAAGCGACGAUGCGUAGCCGACCUGAGAGGGUGGCCGGCCACACUGGGACUGAGACACGGCCCAGACUCCUACGGGAGGCAGCAGUAGGGAAUCUUCCGCAAUGGACGCAAGUCUGACGGAGCAACGCCGCGUGAGUGACGAAGGUUUUCGGAUCGUAAAACUCUGUUGUGAGGGAAGAACACGUACCAACUAACUAUUGGUACCUUGACGGUACCUCACCAGAAAGCCACGGCUAACUACGUGCCAGCCGCCGCCGUAA
This 512-nucleotide ribosomal RNA is filed under the name uncultured bacterium. RNAcentral's name for it is "partial 16S ribosomal RNA". It matches the Rfam family "Bacterial small subunit ribosomal RNA", at positions 28 to 523 of the family's 1533-position model. The record is from RNAcentral.